RNAcentral lists this ribosomal RNA (465 nucleotides) under uncultured bacterium. Its description in RNAcentral is "partial 16S ribosomal RNA". It matches the Rfam family "Bacterial small subunit ribosomal RNA", at positions 338 to 795 of the family's 1533-position model. The record is from RNAcentral.
CCUACGGGAGGCAGCAGUAGGGAAUCUUCCACAAUGGGCGAAAGCCUGAUGGAGCAACGCCGCGUGAGUGAAGAAGGUCUUCGGCUCGUAAAGCCCUGUUGGUAGAGAAGAAAGUGAGAGGGAGUAACUGUUCUCGAUUUGACGGUAACUACUCAGAAAGCCACGGCUAACUACGUGCCAGCAGCCGCGGUAAUACGUAGGUGGCAAGCGUUGUCCGGAUUUAUUGGGCGUAAAGCGAGUGCAGGCGGUUCUGUAAGUCUGAUGUGAAAGCCUUCGGCUUAACCGGAGUAUUGCAUUGGAAACUGUGAGACUUGAGUGCAGAAGAGGAGAGUGGAACUCCAUGGGUAGCGGUGAAAUGCGUAGAUAUAUGGAAGAACACCAGUGGCGAAGGCGGCUCUCUGGUCUGUAACUGACGCUGAGGUUCGAAAGCGUGGGUAGCAAACAGGAUUAGAUACCCUAGUAGUC